GAUGAAGAACGCAGCGAAAUGCGAUACUUGGUGUGAAUUGCAAAAUCCCGUGAACCAUCGAGUCUUUGAACGCAAGUUGCGCCCGAAGCCAUUAGGCCGAGGGCACGCCUGCCUGGGUGUCACACGUCGUUGCCCCCCCAUCUACUCCUUCGGGAUUGCGGGGGGCGGAUGAUGGCCUCCCGUGCGCCUCGUCGCGCGGUUGGCAUAAAUGCCAAGUCCUCGGCGACGCACGCCACGACAAUCGGUGGUUGCGAAACCUCGGUUGCCCGUCGUGUGCGGUCGUCGCGCAUCGAGGGCUCGAAAAAAUUGCCGGGCUCCGGCUCGGCUUUCAACGCGACCCCAGGUCAGGCGGGGUUACCCGCUGAAUUUAAGCAUAUCAAUAAGCGGAGGA
This 391-nucleotide unclassified non-coding RNA is filed under the name soil metagenome. RNAcentral's name for it is "partial contains 5.8S ribosomal RNA, internal transcribed spacer 2, and large subunit ribosomal RNA". The stretch from base 1 to 122 matches the Rfam family "5.8S ribosomal RNA", at positions 35 to 154 of the family's 154-position model. The record is from RNAcentral.